CGGAGGUGUGGCCGAGUGGUUUAAGGCAACGGUCUUGAAAACCGUCGAAGGGGAGACUCUUCCGUGAGUUCGAAUCUCACCGCCUCCGCCAU
Molecule: transfer RNA, 92 nt
Filed under: Pseudomonas paraeruginosa PA7
Lineage: Bacteria; Pseudomonadati; Pseudomonadota; Gammaproteobacteria; Pseudomonadales; Pseudomonadaceae
Description: tRNA-Ser
Rfam family: tRNA
About the family: Transfer RNA (tRNA) molecules are approximately 80 nucleotides in length. Their secondary structure includes four short double-helical elements and three loops (D, anti-codon, and T loops).
Source: RNAcentral